GACGAACGCUGGCGGCGUGCUUAACACAUGCAAGUCGAACGGUGAAAGGGAGCUUGCUCCCUGGAUCAGUGGCGAACGGGUGAGUAACACGUGGGCAACCUGCCCCAGACUUCGGGAUAACGCUUCGAAAGAGGCGCUAAUACCGGAUACGAACUCCUUGGGCAUCCUUGGAGUUGGAAAGUUUUUCGGUCUGGGAUGGGCCCGCGGCCUAUCAGCUUGUUGGUGAGGUAACGGCUCACCAAGGCGACGACGGGUAGCCGGCCUGAGAGGGCGACCGGCCACACUGGGACUGAGACACGGCCCAGACUCCUACGGGAGGCAGCAGUGGGAAAUAUUGCGCAAUGGGCGAAAGCCUGACGCAGCAACGCCGCGUGAGGGAUGACGGCCUUCGGGUUGUAAACCUCUUUCAGCAGGGAAGAAGCGAAAGUGACGGUACCUGCAGAAGAAGCACCGGCUAACUACGUGCCAGCAGCCGCCGUAA
This 481-nucleotide ribosomal RNA is filed under the name uncultured bacterium. RNAcentral's name for it is "partial 16S ribosomal RNA". It matches the Rfam family "Bacterial small subunit ribosomal RNA", at positions 28 to 523 of the family's 1533-position model. The record is from RNAcentral.